CUCUGUCCAACUGUCCACUCCUGCUGUUUGUCUGAUGUCUGCUUUGAGGGCCCUCCUGGCCGUGGACCCAGGGGCUGCCUGUCUGGUCCCUGACUUGGUAGGGCUCAUGACAGGCUGGGAGAACAGAGGUAGAUGGAGAGCAUGGGCCCUCAUGCCAGGGGAGAUGUGCUGUAACGGGGGCACCCAGUGUGGGUGGAAUGUGACCUCCUGUGCUUCCUGGGGUGCUGGAGGAUGUGGUCAGAGGUUCAGAGUGGGGACAAGGUGAGAGACCCAAGAGCCGCUGGGGCAGGUCUCAAACACAGCUAAGGAACCUGCAGCCUGUAACAAGCGUCAAAUCCCGCACCACGACACUGGCCCUCCCACAGCGUGCGGAGUGCUCAGGGUGUUCGCGAGGCUGUACAAGUGCUAACGCGAGCUAGUCGCCCCCCAUACAGCCCCCAUACAGCCCGUGUCUGCCGGCAGCCGCGCCCCUGUCCCUCCACGGCACCUGGGCACGCCAACCUGCUUCCCGCAUCUGGGCAUUGCCAGAUCCAGGCCUUGGAAACAUGCCACCUGCGACCUUUGUGU
RNAcentral lists this long non-coding RNA (567 nucleotides) under Marmota monax (woodchuck). Lineage: Eukaryota; Metazoa; Chordata; Mammalia; Rodentia; Sciuridae. The record is from RNAcentral.